This 163-nucleotide non-coding RNA is filed under the name uncultured Fictibacillus sp. RNAcentral's name for it is "SAM riboswitch (S box leader)". It matches the Rfam family "SAM riboswitch aptamer (S box leader)". Rfam says of the family: The SAM riboswitch is found upstream of a number of genes which code for proteins involved in methionine or cysteine biosynthesis in Gram-positive bacteria. The SAM riboswitch acts at the level of transcription termination control. Lineage: Bacteria; Bacillati; Bacillota; Bacilli; Caryophanales; Fictibacillaceae. The record is from RNAcentral.
UCUUAUCAAGAGCAGGUGGAGGGAUAUGGCCCGAUGAAACCCAGCAACCGACCGUAAUACCAUUGUAAGAUGGGGCGCCCGCAUUCUAUGGGGAGCCGCUGAUUAAGUCAGCGUAUGGCACGGUGCUAAUUCCGGCAAAACAUUUUGUUUUGCUAAGAUAAGA